GACGAACGCUGGCGGCGUGCCUAAUACAUGCAAGUCGAACGCUUCUUUCCUCCCGAGUGCUUGCACUCAAUUGGAAAGAGGAGUGGCGGACGGGUGAGUAACACGUGGGUAACCUACCCAUCAGAGGGGGAUAACACUUGGAAACAGGUGCUAAUACCGCAUAACAGUUUAUGCCGCAUGGCAUAAGAGUGAAAGGCGCUUUCGGGUGUCGCUGAUGGAUGGACCCGCGGUGCAUUAGCUAGUUGGUGAGGUAACGGCUCACCAAGGCCACGAUGCAUAGCCGACCUGAGAGGGUGAUCGGCCACACUGGGACUGAGACACGGCCCAGACUCCUACGGGAGGCAGCAGUAGGGAAUCUUCGGCAAUGGACGAAAGUCUGACCGAGCAACGCCGCGUGAGUGAAGAAGGUUUUCGGAUCGUAAAACUCUGUUGUUAGAGAAGAACAAGGACGUUAGUAACUGAAC
This 464-nucleotide ribosomal RNA is filed under the name Enterococcus faecalis. RNAcentral's name for it is "bacterial SSU rRNA". It matches the Rfam family "Bacterial small subunit ribosomal RNA", at positions 28 to 477 of the family's 1533-position model. The record is from RNAcentral. Lineage: Bacteria; Bacillati; Bacillota; Bacilli; Lactobacillales; Enterococcaceae.